This is a long non-coding RNA of Mustela lutreola (European mink), 284 nucleotides long. RefSeq lists it as uncharacterized. NCBI's taxonomy places the organism in Eukaryota, Metazoa, Chordata, Mammalia, Carnivora, Mustelidae. The transcript has 3 exons. The record is from RefSeq and is a predicted model, not a curated record.
CGAGGGUAAAGGGGGAGGGAGAAGAAGAAAAAAGCGAUUAAAGAAGAAGGUUCGCCGCUACCCUUUGUUUUAAAGUCUAGUUUGUCUGAUGUAAGUAUUGCUACUCCAGUUCUCCAUUGACAUCAAUCUGCAUGAUAAAUGUUUCUCUGUGCCCUCGGCUGCAAGAACAACAAUCAGCCUGGUUUGAAGGAGAAGUUCUGCAGGACUUUGACAAGGGCAAGUUUCAUGCUCGUGGUCGCAAACCUCAUCCCAAUGCAGUUUCGGGGUCCAGUUCCAAAAGGCAG